AAGUCGUAACAAGGUAACCGUAGGUGAACCUGCGGUUGGAUCAUUAUUGAAUAACUUCGGUGGAACGGCGCGUUUCGAAAGGAAUGCGGCGAACCAUUGCAGUAAACCCCUUGUGAACUUAAACCGUAUUUUGGCGGCCCUCCAAAACCGCGCUUUCUUUUAUGUGGCGCGAUGGGCUGUCAGCUUUUGAACUACUCUGUGUUUGUUUUAUAUUGUGUCUUGAAUAAAGUCUGUAAUGGAUUUUGUUUUAAAUAAAUUAAUAUACAACUUUUGACAACGGAUCUCUUGGCUCUC
RNAcentral lists this unclassified non-coding RNA (294 nucleotides) under fungal sp. RNAcentral's name for it is "partial internal transcribed spacer region". The stretch from base 1 to 46 matches the Rfam family "Eukaryotic small subunit ribosomal RNA", at positions 1786 to 1831 of the family's 1831-position model. The record is from RNAcentral. Lineage: Eukaryota; Fungi.